RNAcentral lists this non-coding RNA (107 nucleotides) under Candidatus Parcubacteria bacterium. Its description in RNAcentral is "Parcubacteria bacterium Glycine sequence". It matches the Rfam family "Glycine riboswitch aptamer". From Rfam's summary of the family: This family represents the bacterial glycine riboswitch. Glycine riboswitches usually consist of two metabolite-binding aptamers domains with similar structures in tandem. The record is from RNAcentral. Lineage: Bacteria; Candidatus Parcubacteria.
ACGAAGGUAACAGAAGAGACUUUUUCUUAUUAAAUUAAGAAAAAGAGCCGAAGAGGUAAGAUACUAAAUGUAUCCAAACUUUCAGGCAAAAGGACCGUUACCGGACA